ACGGAAGGCAGCAGUGAGGAAUAUUGGUCAAUGGGCGGAAGCCUGAACCAGCCAAGUCGCGUGAAGGAUGAAGGUAUUAUGUAUUGUAAACUUCUUUAGCAGCAGAGUAAUAAGGGGGUCGUGACCCCCGAUGCAAGUAUGCUGAAAAUAAGGAUCGGCUAACUCCGUGCCAGCAGCCGCGGUAAUACGGAGGAUCCGAGCGUUAUCCGGAUUUAUUGGGUUUAAAGGGUGCGCAGGCGGUUUUUUAAGUCAGUGGUUAAAUCGUGAGGCUCAACCUCAUCACGCCAUUGAUACUGGAAGACCUGAUUGCGGUUGAGGUUGGCGGAAUUCGUCGUGUAGCGGUGAAAUGCAUAGAUAUGACGAAGAACACCGAUUGCGUAGGCAGCUGACCAAGCCGUAAAUGACGCUCAUGCACGAAAGUGCGGGGAUCGAACAGGAUUAGAUACCCUGGUA
Molecule: ribosomal RNA, 453 nt
Filed under: uncultured Porphyromonadaceae bacterium
Lineage: Bacteria; Pseudomonadati; Bacteroidota; Bacteroidia; Bacteroidales; Porphyromonadaceae
Description: partial 16S ribosomal RNA
Rfam family: Bacterial small subunit ribosomal RNA
Source: RNAcentral